GUGGGGAAUCUUGCGCAAUGGGCGAAAGCCUGACGCAGCCAUGCCGCGUGAAUGAUGAAGGUCUUAGGAUUGUAAAAUUCUUUCACCGGGGACGAUAAUGACGGUACCCGGAGAAGAAGCUCCGGCUAACUUCGUGCCAGCAGCCGCGGUAAUACGAAGGGGGCUAGCGUUGCUCGGAAUUACUGGGCGUAAAGGGCGCGUAGGCGGACAGCUUAGUCAGAGGUGAUAGCCCAGGGCUCAACCUUGGAAUUGCCUUUGAUACUGGCUGUCUUGAGUUUGGGAGAGGUGAGUGGAACUCCGAGUGUAGAGGUGAAAUUCGUAGAUAUUCGGAAGAACACCAGUGGCGAAGGCGACUCACUGGCCCAAUACUGACGCUGAGGCGCGAAAGCGUGGGGAGCAAACAGGAUUAGAUACCCCAGUAGUCC
RNAcentral lists this ribosomal RNA (425 nucleotides) under uncultured bacterium. RNAcentral's name for it is "partial 16S ribosomal RNA". It matches the Rfam family "Bacterial small subunit ribosomal RNA", at positions 354 to 796 of the family's 1533-position model. The record is from RNAcentral.